RNAcentral lists this ribosomal RNA (465 nucleotides) under Vreelandella stevensii. RNAcentral's name for it is "partial 16S ribosomal RNA". It matches the Rfam family "Bacterial small subunit ribosomal RNA", at positions 338 to 795 of the family's 1533-position model. The record is from RNAcentral. Lineage: Bacteria; Pseudomonadati; Pseudomonadota; Gammaproteobacteria; Oceanospirillales; Halomonadaceae.
CCUACGGGCGGCAGCAGUGGGGAAUAUUGGACAAUGGGGGGAACCCUGAUCCAGCCAUGCCGCGUGUGUGAAGAAGGCCCUCGGGUUGUAAAGCACUUUCAGUGAGGAAGAACGCCUGGUGGUUAAUACCCAUCAGGAAAGACAUCACUCACAGAAGAAGCACCGGCUAACUCCGUGCCAGCAGCCGCGGUAAUACGGAGGGUGCGAGCGUUAAUCGGAAUUACUGGGCGUAAAGCGCGCGUAGGUGGCUUGAUAAGCCGGUUGUGAAAGCCCCGGGCUCAACCUGGGAACGGCAUCCGGAACUGUCAAGCUAGAGUGCAGGAGAGGAAGGUAGAAUUCCCGGUGUAGCGGUGAAAUGCGUAGAGAUCGGGAGGAAUACCAGUGGCGAAGGCGGCCUUCUGGACUGACACUGACACUGAGGUGCGAAAGCGUGGGUAGCAAACAGGAUUAGAUACCCUAGAAGUC